UUGAGUGAAGUAGUCCAGCCUGGCCCGAUUUUGGACGUCUACUUACAGACAGAACUAGUUGAAAUGAGACGUUCUGACCGACCACAAUCUGGACGUCUAUUUGACAGCCUGAUUUAGUUGAUAAAUGACACUGAGUAAAGUCGUCCAUCCUGGCCCAAUUUUGGACGGCUACAGACAACCAGAACUAGUGUAAAUGAGACAUUCCGAUAGGCCACAAUCUGGAAGUCUAUAUGACAGCCUGAAUUAGUUAAUAAAUUACAUUGAGUGAGGCAAGGCAGGCCCCUUAGAGCUGUUUUUUUGUCAUGAAGAGUGAGGUUUCAAUGGCUGUUCUCCAUUGAUCUGCCUGUACAGCAUAGACUUCUUAAAAAUUAACCAAUACUCAGCAAUAUUCAUUGUUUUUAGUAAUACUUCAAUGAUUUUUGGAGGUUUAUGUUACUUGCAACUUGUUGCCAUGCAAAUAAAUAGUAGUUUGAAUUCAAAAUCACAGAGGCUAAGCCAAAACCUGAGUACCUGGGAAAAUAUAUAUAUUUUCAUCAUAAAUGUUGCAUUUUGGUGUAUUUCCAUCAGGUUUACAGUUACAAUUGUUGUAUAGGAGUUGGAAAACAAAUUCAGCAGAAAAAUUGGCUACUGGAACUUGGUUAAUGGUUAUAGUGCUUUAUUGUUAUAGUGCAUUUUUACAAGGCAAGGAUAAAAAAUUCCUUCGUUGCAUCUUGAAUCUAUAGAAAUGGUUUAAAUACCAUGGAUUCAUGUUAGCUUCUUUCAAAAGUGACCAGAAUAAUGAAUAUAGGCCAUAUGGUUGAGGAGUUAUUCCUGAUUUGGGCAGGUUUUGCCUCCGGAUUCAGAGAUUAAAAAAAAAAAACGUUUUCCGUAUGCAGUACCGGCAGCCAUCCUAACAUCAAUAACUUGAAUUAAUCUAUUUAUCCACAUAUUCCCCGUUUGUUAAUAAUAAUUUGUCAUUUUUUAUAGAAUAUAGAAUAUUUUUUAUUUAACAACUGUCUCUGUGGUUUGGUAUUUAAAACAUUUUUGGCUGUAAGGUCGUACGGUAUUAAUAAAGUUCGGUUGAAUUAACCAAUGACGUUCUUGUUACCAGACUGAUAUCCUUCCGCUGUGAAAGUAGUUCUACUUUUAUAGUGGUGAUUAAUAAUUUAAUUGGGACUCGUAGUGGUUAACAUUGCCUUUAACGACUACUUCAACCUUUUAUGAAAUGACAUUGCUUUUUUAAUCGAGCCAACUUGCCAGGAAAGUUUUCUAUAGUGCUGUCGCACGGAUGGAUAUGAAGUCUGCAAGGAAUUGUACAAUCACACAGUGGACUUGGCAGUUACUCGGCUCGUGCAGAUCGUAAGAGAAAAGAAGAGCUGCCAACCAGGUUCAUCUAAGUCAUACAGCAGGGAGAGGUCCACUGCAUCUGCUGUUAUGCAAUGGGAUUCUGCUGCGACGGAGGCGCAAAUCAGAUCUGCAGCUGCAGAUCACUUGAAGCAUGCCCCGGGACGAGUUGGAGGAGGAGGUUACAAUUAGGUCUUGUUAGCAACUGAAUUUUUACUCUUUUCUAAUUUUAAAUACUUUUAUAUAUUUAUAGUUUUGUUAGUUUCGUUUUAUUCAAUGUUCACUGUUGUACAAUGUAUUUUAAAUGUGUUCGUGGCUUUUCAUCAAAGUUCUUGAAUAAAAUUGGAUAGUGUGAAUCUUAAA
Long non-coding RNA from Seriola aureovittata, 1686 nucleotides. RefSeq lists it as uncharacterized. The record is from RefSeq and is a predicted model, not a curated record. The transcript is spliced from 4 exons. Lineage: Eukaryota; Metazoa; Chordata; Actinopteri; Carangiformes; Carangidae.